UGGGGAAUAUUGGACAAUGGGCGAAAGCCUGAUCCAGCAAUGCCGCGUGUGUGAUGAAGGCCUGCGGGUUGUAAAGCACUUUCGUUGGGGAAGAAAUGAUUAAGAGUAAUAUCCUUAAUUUUGACGUUACCCAAAGAAGAAGCACCGGCUAACUCUGUGCCAGCAGCCGCGGUAAUACAGAGGGUGCAAGCGUUAAUCGGAGUUAUUGGGCGUAAAGGGCGCGUAGGUGGAUACUUAAGUCAAUUGUGAAAUACCCGGGCUUAACCUGGGAAGUGCAUUUGAUACUGGGGGUCUAGAGUAUGGGAUGGGAAAGCGGAAUUCCCGGUGUAGCGGUAAAAUGCGUAGAGAUCGGGAAGAACACCAGUGCGAAGGCGGCUUUCUGGACCAAUACUGACACUGAGGCGCGAAAGCGUGGGGAGCAAACA
This 425-nucleotide ribosomal RNA is filed under the name uncultured prokaryote. RNAcentral's name for it is "bacterial SSU rRNA". It matches the Rfam family "Bacterial small subunit ribosomal RNA", at positions 355 to 774 of the family's 1533-position model. The record is from RNAcentral.